CCUAUGGAGUGUUACACAAAUGAAAGUAGACUUGGUAAAAUCGGAUACUAUGAAGUAGGAA
Molecule: small RNA, 61 nt
Organism: Clostridium tetani E88
Lineage: Bacteria; Bacillati; Bacillota; Clostridia; Eubacteriales; Clostridiaceae
Rfam family: RAGATH-18 RNA
About the family: Actinobacteria, Firmicutes, Fusobacteria, Thermotogae (1 example). Nearby to self-cleaving ribozyme genes
Source: Rfam